GACGAACGCUGGCGGCGCGCCUAACACAUGCAAGUCGAACGGAGCUGCGAGAAGCUUGCUUUUCUUAGCUUAGUGGCGCACGGGUGAGUAACGCGUGAGUAACCUGCCCUGGAGUGGGGGACAACAGUUGGAAACGACUGCUAAUACCGCAUAAGCCCACGAUCCGGCAUCGGAUUGAGGGAAAAGGAUUUAUUCGCUUCAGGAUGGACUCGCGUCCAAUUAGCUAGUUGGUGAGGUAACGGCCCACCAAGGCGACGAUUGGUAGCCGGACUGAGAGGUUGAACGGCCACAUUGGGACUGAGACACGGCCCAGACUCCUACGGGAGGCAGCAGUGGGGGAUAUUGCACAAUGGGGGAAACCCUGAUGCAGCGACGCCGCGUGGAGGAAGAAGGUUUUCGGAUUGUAAACUCCUGUCGUUAGGGACGAUAAUGACGGUACCUAACAAGAAAGCACCGGCUAACUACGUG
Molecule: ribosomal RNA, 468 nt
Filed under: uncultured bacterium
Lineage: Bacteria
Description: partial 16S ribosomal RNA
Rfam family: Bacterial small subunit ribosomal RNA
Source: RNAcentral